RNAcentral lists this ribosomal RNA (492 nucleotides) under uncultured bacterium. RNAcentral's name for it is "partial 16S ribosomal RNA". It matches the Rfam family "Bacterial small subunit ribosomal RNA", at positions 29 to 507 of the family's 1533-position model. The record is from RNAcentral.
AGUGAACGCUGGCGGUAGGCCUAACACAUGCAAGUCGAACGGCAGCAUAGUAAGAGCUUGCUCUUACGGGUGGCGAGUGGCGGACGGGUGAGGAAUACAUCGGAAUCUACUUUUUCGUGGGGGAUAACGUAGGGAAACUUACGCUAAUACCGCAUACGACCUACGGGUGAAAGCAGGGGAUCUUCGGACCUUGCGCGAUUGAAUGAGCCGAUGUCGGAUUAGCUAGUUGGCGGGGUAAAGGCCCACCAAGGCGACGAUCCGUAGCUGGUCUGAGAGGAUGAUCAGCCACACUGGAACUGAGACACGGUCCAGACUCCUACGGGAGGCAGCAGUGGGGAAUAUUGGACAAUGGGCGCAAGCCUGAUCCAGCCGUACCGCGUGGGUGAAGAAGGCCUUCGGGUUGUAAAGCCCUUUUGUUGGGAAAGAAAAGCAGCAGGUUAAUACCCCGCUGUUCUGACGGUACCCAAAGAAUAAGCACCGGCUAACUUCGUG